Cololabis saira (Pacific saury) is the source of this 717-nucleotide long non-coding RNA. RefSeq lists it as uncharacterized. The transcript has 4 exons. The record is from RefSeq and is a predicted model, not a curated record. Lineage: Eukaryota; Metazoa; Chordata; Actinopteri; Beloniformes; Belonidae.
GCGCGACAGAGCAUAAAGGUCACGGGAUAGGUUAUUGCAAAAUUUCCUAUUUUAUGGUUUAGCAUAAAAAUGCUAAAAGGGGUGGAAUGUAAUGGAAAAUUUUGGUAUAACACUGUCUGUUGCCUGUUUUCAUUCCUAUGCCGAGGUCAUGUUCCUUUGACACAGUGGCCUGGCAUGGUUGCCAGGGUGAUGGGUGAUGUUUUGUCUUUUCCAGCUCCAGAGUAUAAAAUAACCUGUCUAUAAUCUUCUUCAGCGCACUCAGGACUGUCGGUUCAUGUGACCGGUUGGACUGUGUGGCUCCGUUCAAUUGAAUGUUUGUCCUCUUUUCAUUAAAUCUUCGAAAGACAGCUGAGGUGUCCUGACAUUCUUUUUGAACAACAAUUUUUGCCACCACAACCACGAAGAUGCUGCUGUCCCGUCAGACAGCAACUGUAAAUCAAAGCUGACCAGGACCCACACGGGGAAGAAGGUUUCUACUGAGGAAAUGCCUCCAGAAGAUUCUGGUGUUACAAAGUCUUCCUCCACAAUUGAAGAUUUGGAACAGAUGGACACGGAGAAUCAGUUCUGCAGUCCAACUGAAAUGGAGACAGUUGUCAACAGUGAGAGGUGUCAGAAACAUAGCCUGGUGUGUGCAACUGUCUCCCCCUUGGACAAGUGUCUCCAGUGUGUGGGACCUGUGUCCUCCCUCAAGUGGCUUGGCUAUAAAUGCAGAGGUGA